CCUACGCGAGGCAGCAGUGGGGCAUAUUGCACAAUGGGGGAAACCCUGAUGCAGCGACGUCGCGUGAGUGAUGAAGUAUUUCGGUAUGUAAAGCUCUAUCAGCAGGGAAGAAAAUGACGGUACCUGACUAAGAAGCCCCGGCUAACUACGUGCCAGCAGCCGCGGUAAUACGUAGGGGGCAAGCGUUAUCCGGAUUUACUGGGUGUAAAGGGAGCGUAGACGGCGGUGCAAGCCAGAUGUGAAAGCCCGGGGCUCAACCCCGGGACUGUAUUUGGAACUGUGCUGCUAGAGUGUCGGAGAGGCAGGCGGAAGUACUAGUGUAGCGGUGACAGGCGUAGAUAGUAGGAGGAACACCAGUGGCGAAGGCGGCCUGAUGGACGAUGACUGACGUUGAGGCUCGAAAGCGUGGGGAGCAAACAGGAGUAGAUACCCGUGUAGGC
This 440-nucleotide ribosomal RNA is filed under the name uncultured bacterium. RNAcentral describes it as "partial 16S ribosomal RNA". It matches the Rfam family "Bacterial small subunit ribosomal RNA", at positions 338 to 795 of the family's 1533-position model. The record is from RNAcentral.